Non-coding RNA from Phalacrocorax carbo (great cormorant), 7080 nucleotides. The record is from RefSeq and is a predicted model, not a curated record. Lineage: Eukaryota; Metazoa; Chordata; Aves; Suliformes; Phalacrocoracidae.
GCCCCCCGCGCCCGCCCACUGGAGCUCUGCCGCCGGGACGCGCCGCCUCAUUGGCGCCCGCCGCCGCCGCCGGGACAGCCGGGAAAGGGGAGCGCUGCCGGGGGAGGAGGCGCGGCCGGCCGGGGCGGCGCGCGGUGGCGGCGGGCGAGCGGGUCGCGAUCGCCGCCAUCGCCCUUCUCUUCCCUUCUUCUCCCUCUGCUCGGCCUGGGAGGGAGGCGGGUGAGCGCCGGCUGCCGCCAGAGCGAGGCCCGUCGGCUGAGGUAAAAAACCCGGCAAUUCUGAGGUAAAGCCCUGCUAGUGCUGAGGUAAAGUCCCCGCCCCGCCGCACCGGGCCCUUGCAGGGGGCCGGACCCCCCUUCCCAAGGAGGGCAGCGGGCGGGAAGGGGCCCCGGGGCCGGCCGGGCCGUGCGAGGGGCUGCCGGGGGGACCGGACCGACCCGGGCGGGCCCGCGGCUCCCUUGUUUUGCUCCGUAAGGAGAGGCAGGGUUCCUGCGCCCCUUACCCUUGGGUGUCCUCAGCCAGUGCGUGAUUGUUGUCUGAAUCGUUUUGCCUUUUUUUUAUAUAUAAAGUGUAUUUAUAUGUAUAGCGGCCAGCACAAGGACUGCUUGUAAAUAGUAUUGUUAAAUAUCAUAAACCUUGUUUAAAUUUAUUUAACUGCUGGCUUGGUGUUUGGCAGUUGAGGGUUUUUUUUUGCCGAAAUACAACUAAUGGUGUUAAUAUGUCUACUACGUUUGAAAAUACUCUCCACUGUUUCCCCUCUAUUUCUGACAGAAAAAAAAAAAAAAGACUCACACGAGCAGCAGUCCUCCUGUGUUGACAUGACCAAAACCCUUUGAGGUACAGUAAUUUCUCUAGGCAAUGAGCUCAAGGGCAGUUUGAGGGCUGGUUGCUUGCAUGGGUCAGUCACGUCCCCCUGUUUGUGCAGGUAGUGAGUGCCUAGACCCUCUAAACGUUACUAAUCUUAUAAAGAAUACUUCUUGCCCCCCUCAGUUUCUUGUCUCAGUUUACCCUCCAGGUAUGUGAGUACUAAUAUUGGCAUAACAAGGAGGUGGGACGGUGGCAGACUCCAUUUAGAGUGGUUUAAGCUGUUGUGAAACUACUUUCAAAAUUGCUAAUUCUCAGCCAGCACCCAAGACCGGACACAGUACUACAAUUAAGGCCUCAACAACACCGGCAUCUGCUGUCAUGCCUGUCACAGACUACGCUCCUGUUUACAUGUGCCAAUACAAACACUUUUGAGUCAGUAUGAUCUAUUCACAAUUCUGCUGACCUGUUUUAACCCCCACAUCCAUUUCUGCUGACCUACCAAGACAGUUAUUUCUCCCUCAAGUAGACAGUAAUGCUACUUGAGAAAUGAGUUACUGCAACAACCCUAAUGCUAUCCCUUCAUUUCUGUUGCUGGCCAGAUUGACAGUCAAGACAUCUUUUAAAAUAAAAUUCCACAUGAUUUUACGUCAGAAAAAUGUAGAAUUUGUCAUCCUUUGUAAAUCGAUUGCAUUUCUCAGAAGAAUUGUAUUUAAAAACCAGAACUUCGCUAAGAUUGAACUGUGCCACAGUUACAGAAUGGUUGCAUAACUCUAAAUUUAGAAGAGAGAUUUGUACAUAUUUGCAAAUAUUUAAAACUUUAAAUUCACUUUAAGCAGCUUAAACCGAACCAGCUGAAAUAAUCUAAAUGCAAGUAAGGGUUGAUAACAAAGAAUGUAGGUUGGGGGGAUUUAUGCUAAUAUAAGGUAAAAUUUGGCAAAACCAGCAUAACUUCCUGUUGCCCCCAUCAGUGAAGGACAGAACCUGCAGAUGCACGUGUUUUGCUUUGUGAUAUGUACUUUAUUCUGUUAGUUGUGUUUGUCAGUGACACACGUUAAUUCUCAGGUGUAUUCACUCUCCUGUGUGCUGCUUUUGAUCUGGACUGAACGGUGCAAUGGGCAGCUCAUAAAGUUAUCGAUAGCGUACUCUGCCAAAGGGAAGUUCUAGCACAGUCUGAUGGCUAGGCUGGCUUUUUAGGUGAAGUAGAGUGUGCCAUUUCAUAUGGUUGUACUUUGGUCUUCCCAGUAUGAAAUGAAAUCCAUCUUUGUAAAACACUAAAAAUCUAAAACUCAAGCAUGUGAUGUGGGUAUUUAUUAAAGUAACGGCCACAGAAGGGAUAAAAGCCAAGACUGCUGUCCAAGUUCACUAUCCUGUCUGCACAGAGUUUUUCACUUCUCAUUCUGUCUUUUUAUAACAGCUACAGAAUUAGUUCUUCAGUAUAGCUGAACAAGCUGGUAAAUAAUGCAUUCAGCUAGUUUAUUUUGUAUAUGAAAAAUGCAUCAUGUGGUAUGUCUUGUCCAUUUUGAUUGUAUAAAGCAUUUUUAUGAUGUGUUUUAUAUCAGGUGAUGUUUAUAUGGUAACAAUUAAAUAAAAAUACAGGCUUUAUCAGUUAAUAAACAGAAAUCUUACCUUUUAUUCAUCACUUGGCCAGCAGAGUUUACAGAAUUGCCUUCCCUUUUAUUUCUAGAUUGCUUUCUUUUUUCUACUUUGGUCUGUAAUGUCUCCAUCAGUAAGGAGAUUUAAGACCACAACAUAAGAAAACUGCUAACAUUUCAAAGGGGCACUGUUACAUGUCCUCCUCCUAUUCUCUGUUUAGUCUGUAUUUUGAAAAAAUUGCUACUUUAAAAAUGAUUACAUGAAUCCCAAGCAGAGACAGAGAAGAAAUAAGUACUACAGGUGUUUUAUGUAGGUGUGUAUUCACUUAUAUUUAUGUGUUUGUAUAAAUAUUUAUAAUAUCAACUUGCAAGAAUAAAAAUUAACUGUCAUUAGGUAAAGUUCACGUGACCAACAUCUCACAUACAAGUGUGCAGGAGUAUAUAUAAAAAUAUGCGUUCAAUACCUGCAACCCUUCCUGAAGAUCUGCAAGCAAUAAUAAGUUCUUUUGAUCAGUGUUUUUCUGCUGCUAUGAAAGGCACAAGACCAGCCUAUCCUCUUUAAAAGUUACACUGCCUUACUGUCCUACAAAAGGGAUUUUUAAAAAUAGUAUAGAAAGGAAUUUUCAGGGCCGGCUCCUCAGCAGUCAGGUAAUGUCCUUUUUAGCACCUGAACAGUCAGAACAGCUAUCAAGAGUCCUCCAAAACAGAAAUUUUUGUACCAGUGACUCAGAUUUGUGCCGCUUCGCCUUUUUUUUGUGUGACUGAAGUUCCACUGUAGACCAUCUGUUAUGGCCACCCAGGCAGGAGUACGGAGCUUGCAUCCGCGUUGGCAUUCUGCUCUCCGCAUAGCGGCUCAUCAGACAGGAUUGCUACGUAGACACCACCAUGGAUGUCCUGCUCCAUUGGGUGAUAAACAUAAGUGGAUCUAGCUGGAGUUGUAAACGUUUCACGUAGCACAUCUGAUGUGUAUUUGUCUACUGUAAGGGUCACGUAAUGCUACAUAAAGGUUCUCCUAUAUGUCAAAAGGAGCAUUAUCAGGGGUACCAUGGGAUUAGUACAGAUAUUCCCUGUUCCAAUACUAGUAAGCAAGAAAAGACUUGAUCUCCCCAGAGAACUAAUUAUUCAGACCAGCAGGAAAAAGGCCAGAAAGAAAAAGCGUUAUGGAGGAAGCAGCAGCGCCGUUUGAAGAAGCAAAUCAGCAUGUGAACAAGGCUUUUCUGAUACAUCUUUUAACAAAAGUGAACACAGUGGAAUACCGCAUCAAAGUAACUGUCCUGCUCCAUCCAUUUGAUUGAAACAGCACAAUCUGAGAUUUUUUUGUUUACAUUUGAAUCAAAUUCAUGUCUAACAAAAAAAUGUUCUGUUUAGUCUGUUUACCCUGGAGUUGACUUCUGAUUCAUGUGUUUUACAUUUUGGGCAGGAAUGGUAUGUCCAGCUUUUGGACAACAUUUAUAAUCACAGUACCAAGUUUCUGUAAUAAUAAGCAAGUGCUUAUUAUGUGGACUUUUCACCUAUUGCUCCUCCUUGUAUCAGCUAUGUGAUAACACUGUCAGUGCCCUCAGGAGCUGAAUUCCUGAUGCAUGUGUGGGGAAGGGUUUUGGGGUCAUAGACACAAUUACCCGAAUGGGAACUAAUUCUUCCUCUCUGUGUAUAGACACUGCGUCAUUUGAAGUCUGUUUCUGUAGUCAACGUGGCAAGAUAAGUAGGAGCUUGCUCGCCUCUGCAGCUGGCUAGCUGCCUCCUCCUAGCACAGCGCUGCUUUCACUUAUUCCCCAACUCACUUUUUUUGUUCCUAUUUUGUUCCCCUCCCCCAGCGUUUUAACUUGCUUUCAGGCCCCAGGCACUCCUUUAAGCCUAGAUUUCUGAAUUUUUUGUUAACUUCCCUUCUCUGCCUGUUUACCUGUGCUGCCUUCGGGUUCUGCGGUGUGUUCCUCAGCCAACCUCCCCUCGCCAACUGUAGCGCCGCAACCGCCACUGAAGGUUCCAGCGCUCCCCGCUUCUCUCCCGGGGCAGCCGCCCACGGGGCUGCCUCUGGCGCCUGAAACUGCGCCUGGAAACAGAGUGCCUGCCCGUGUGUUACGUGGUCCCCUGCACCCCUGGGGUAUCUCUGAUUCCUAAGAGAAAAGGGGUCGGUGUCCAAUUCUUCGCCUUGUGAUCAAGGCUCCUUGUUGCAGUUAUCUCUGCGUUUAAUGCGUUAAAAGCUAAUGUACGCACUGUUAUGAUCUCCUGGUAUAAAGCCAUCUCUUCAGAUGAGCACCCUCCACUGUGGCCCAGCUUCCUACAUGGCCACCCCCCAAAAUGAACACAUAAGUAAAAUACCAGUGUGGGCUGAAGGUGUCCAGCAGCGCUUCAAGUGUAUGAACUGCUGCUCUUAUAGCGCUUCCCAUGUCUCCAGCGAAGUACCUACCAGCUCCCUCCCAAGCUUAGUGCAUCUCUCAUGGUUACAGCAGCAGUUGAUAAAACACUUGAGGUUUUCCCCAAGUACAGACACCCUGACGAAGGAGUGGGCUGAGAGAGAAAUAUCUUGUUCUCUUUGUUAUAACGAAGAACAAGCAAGUAUUCGUCUUGUGGUUUUUUCAGCUUGCCUAAUCUUUAUCUCAUAGUACAGCUUAAACCUAUUAGAUACUUUUACAUUUAAAAUUUUCAGAUCAUGGCAAAUGAAAGUGUUCUUCCAUAGUCUGUAGCUCAGCUCAGUGUUGUAGGGACUGCUUAAUAUCAGGGGAGUCUUAAAUAAGUUUAAAAUAUAAGUCCUAGUGGGUUCCAGAGCUUGUGGUAUGAAGCUGGGCUGAGGAAGGGCUGUACAUGUGCCAAGGGCACUUCCACAGAGCUUUUGAACAACUUGUUAAGAGGCGUCAGGAGAAAAGCUGCUUGGAAAGAAGUGGCUGAGUGUUAGUCACAAUUCUAAAGACAAAUCCUCCUGGGAGCCUGCUGCAUGAGCACGAGUGCCCUCACGCUGAGCGAAACAAAGUAGUCCCCUCCACCUCCACGGGGAGCAGGGGUUAGCCAUAAGCAGUACGGGCACAGGCUAGUCAGCACGGCUGUCUGUCCCUGGCUGGCGGACACAGCAGCAGAGACAUUACUGUAUGGCAGCACUGGCAAGGAAUCUGUAUGAAUUCUGCUGAAAGUGGAAGGACAGGAAAAUAAAGACUAUAUAAGAGCAUUCUCUAAAAUCUUCCCAGAUCCACUGUCAGGGUUAAAACAGAUAGGAUAAUUUCACCACUGAGAAAAUGAUGUGAAUAAGGAGGCUUGUACUUCUUCUAUGACCCUGCAGAGGAAUUACAGAUACCCUACAAAUUACUAGUAAGACAGGACUUCACAGGAGACAGGAACUGGAGCUGAAACCCAAAAGCUAAAAAUCCUAGAAAAAGGCAGGAAUUUCUUAGAUUUAGACAGAAAUUAGCAAAGGACCACCUAAACAACCUCCUGGCUAAGCAGACCACACAAAGAUUACUGAAACAACAACAAAUAUGGUGUUCUUCUGUGCAAGUGCUGGAAGCCUGAAAACUUAGUUGAGGAGAUGAUAAUGUCUCAUUUUACAGGAGCAUGCUGGUAGAACUGAUUUUUAGGAAACAGAAGGAAUGGCAUUAAAGCCUCUCCAGUAUGUGAUGACAAAAAGAGUUGAGAAUGCUCAGAUUAGGAAAGGAAUAGCGAAUGAAUCAGGAAACAUCAUUUUACCAUUGUACAAAUCCAUCGUGCAUCCUUGGUUAUCUUUAACUCUGCGUAAUUUGGUACAGACUGUAUUUAGGAAAGAAUAUAGAGAAAGGCAAGAAAUACAAUGGCUUGGUGCAAUUCCCACCCAAGGAGAGGAUUAAUUCAUUGGGGAUCUUGAGCUCAGAAGAAAAUAUGUCAGGCUGAAUUUGCUAGAGGUCUGUCAAGGUCUUUGAUGGAAUGGAGAUGGGCAAAUGAGCGACUUAUUUUUCAAAACUGCUUUGUAAUAUUUGUUCUUGUGUUUUCUGGCAAGAUGGAAUAUUACAAGCUUUCACAUCGUGUUAUAGAGGCAAAAAGUAUGAACAGGUUCACAUAAAGCCGAAUUUUAAAAACCGGAUGCCCAAGGGCACCAAGGAGAAAUUAAAUUGUCCUUGUACUUUAACAGGCUACCAUAAUUACAACAUACAUUACAUAUGCAACACAUUAAUGAGUUAGAAGCUUAUUUGCCACCAAAUAAAAAGCACCGCUAUCAACUUUAAAAAUCUGUUCUAUAGAGAAGUCUAGAUACCAGAUUUAGGGUAAGAUAACUCAGUAAAUAUAGAAGAAUUUCAGCCAAUAUAAAAUCUGUGGUAUGUUAUGAUAAGAUUUGGCAUAUUAUAAUUAUUGAGCGGCUUCUUUGACAUGCUAUCCAUUCCCCACACUUAGAGAAUUUUCAACAUUAUCCAGUGUCAGGUGGGUCCCAGAAGAAUUUAUAGCAAGAAUCAAUAGCCAAGACUUGAAUGAGAGAAGAUCAAAAAUAGAGUUGAGAUUUUCCUUUUUAAGAUGCAAGGAGGAGUUAAAACCAUGAUUUGCUAAGGCACCAAGCGGCACCAGCAGACACCUCUGGAAAAUUAAUCUUAAGCUAUCUUUAGUACAUUCAAAGAAAUUGUGGCUCCCACUUGAGCCAUUUCAGCUCAAAUACAGAUAAAAAAUAAUCAGAUCACAUAGACUGUUCACUCGUCUUGAAUAAAUAAAUAUUUAACGGAACUGUGCA